This 390-nucleotide ribosomal RNA is filed under the name uncultured Chrysophyceae. RNAcentral describes it as "partial small subunit ribosomal RNA". It matches the Rfam family "Eukaryotic small subunit ribosomal RNA", at positions 30 to 432 of the family's 1831-position model. Lineage: Eukaryota; Chrysophyceae. The record is from RNAcentral.
GCUUGUCUCAAAGAUUAAGCCAUGCAUGUCUUAGUGUAAAUAACUCUUAUGAAACUGCGAAUGGCUCAUUAAAUCAGUUAUCGUUUAUUUGAUGGUCCUUACUAUUUGGAUAACCGUAGUAAUUCUAGAGCUAAUACAUGCAUCAAUCCCCGACUUUUGGAAGGGGUGUAUUUAUUAGAUGGAAACCAAUGCGGGGCAACCCGGAAUAUGGUGAAUCAUAAUAACUUUCGGAUCGAUCGCAAGAUCGAUGCAUCAUUCAAGUUUCUGCCCUAUCAGCUUUGGAUGGUAGGGUAUUGGCCUACCAUGGCUUUAACGGGUAACGGAGAAUUAGGGUUCGAUUCCGGAGAGGGAGCCUGAGAAACGGCUACCACAUCCAAGGAAGGCAGCAGG